RNAcentral lists this ribosomal RNA (253 nucleotides) under uncultured bacterium. RNAcentral describes it as "partial 16S ribosomal RNA". It matches the Rfam family "Bacterial small subunit ribosomal RNA", at positions 524 to 776 of the family's 1533-position model. The record is from RNAcentral.
UACGGAGGGGGCAAGCGUUGUUCGGAAUUACUGGGCGUAAAGGGCGUGUAGGCGGAUCUGCAAGUCAGAGGUGAAAGCCCCGGGCUCAACCUGGGAACGGCCUUUGAUACUGCAGAGCUAGAGUCCAGGAGAGGAUAGUGGAAUUCCCAGUGUAGAGGUGAAAUUCGUAGAUAUUGGGAAGAACACCAGUGGCGAAGGCGGCGAUCUGGACUGGUACUGACGCUGAGGCGCGAAAGCGUGGGGAGCAAACAGG